AGCAGCCGCGGUAAUUCCAGCUCCAAUAGCGUAUAUUAAAGUUGUUGCAGUUAAAAAGCUCGUAGUUGAAUUUCGGGAUUGACGUGAUGGUCGUGCCUUAAGGGGUAUGAACUGUCGCAGUUGAUUUCUCACCUUCUGGAGAAGCUUGAUGUCCUUAAUUGGGUGUCAUGUGGAACCAGGACCUUUACCUUGAAAAAAUUGAGUGUUUAAAGCAGGCAUUUUGCUCGAAUACAUUAGCAUGGAACAAUAGAAUAGGACGGCAUGGUUCUAUUUUGUUGGUUUCUAGGAUCACCGUAAUGAUUAAUAGGGAUAGUUGGGGGCAUUAGUAUUCAAUUGUCAGAGGUGAAAUUCUUGGAUUCAUUGAAGACUAACUACUGCGAAAGCAUUUGCCAAGGAUGUUUUCAUUAAUCAAGAACGAAAGUUAGGGGAUCGAAGACGAUCAGAUACCGUCGUAGUCUUAACCAUAAACUAUGCCGACUAGGAAUCAGACGAUGUUAAUUUUUAAUGUAC
RNAcentral lists this ribosomal RNA (510 nucleotides) under uncultured Entrophospora. RNAcentral describes it as "SSU rRNA". It matches the Rfam family "Eukaryotic small subunit ribosomal RNA", at positions 569 to 1077 of the family's 1831-position model. Lineage: Eukaryota; Fungi; Glomeromycota; Glomeromycetes; Entrophosporales; Entrophosporaceae. The record is from RNAcentral.